CUAGAUGGUGGGGUAACGGCUCACCAUGGCAAUGAUACGUACCCGACCUGAGAGGGUAAUCGGCCACAUUGGGACUGAGACACGGCCCAAACUCCUACGGGAGGCAGCAGUAGGGAAUCUUCCACAAUGGACGAAAGUCUGAUGGAGCAACGCCGCGUGAGUGAAGAAGGGUUUCGGCUCGUAAAACUCUGUUGUUAAAGAAGAACAUAUCUGAGAGUAACUGUUCAGGUAUUGACGGUAUUUAACCAGAAAGCCACGGCUAACUACGUGCCAGCAGCCGCGGUAAUACGUAGGUGGCAAGCGUUGUCCGGAUUUAUUGGGCGUAAAGCGAGCGCAGGCGGUUUUUUAAGUCUGAUGUGAAAGCCUUCGGCUCAACCGAAGAAGUGCAUCGGAAACUGGGAAACUUGAGUGCAGAAGAGGACAGUGGAACUCCAUGUGUAGCGGUGAAAUGCGUAUAUAUAUGGAAGAACACCAGUGGCGAAGGCGGCUGUCUGGUUCUGUAACUGACGCUGAGGCUCGAAAGUAUGGGUAGCAAACAGGAUUAGAUACCCUGGUAGUCCAUACCGUAAACGAUGAAUGCUAAGUGUUGGAGGGUUUCCGCCCUUCAGUGCUGCAGCUAACGCAUUAAGCAUUCCGCCUGGGGAGUACGGCCGCAAGGCUGAAACUCAAAGGAAUUGACGGGGGCCCGCACAAGCGGUGGAGCAUGUGGUUUAAUUCGAAGCUACGCGAAGAACCUUACCAGGUCUUGACAUACUAUGCAAAUCUAAGAGAUUAGACGUUCCCUUCGGGGACAUGGAUACAGGUGGUGCAUGGUUGUCGUCAGCUCGUGUCGUGAGAUGUUGGGUUAAGU
RNAcentral lists this ribosomal RNA (850 nucleotides) under Lactiplantibacillus plantarum. RNAcentral's name for it is "bacterial SSU rRNA". It matches the Rfam family "Bacterial small subunit ribosomal RNA", at positions 245 to 1085 of the family's 1533-position model. The record is from RNAcentral. Lineage: Bacteria; Bacillati; Bacillota; Bacilli; Lactobacillales; Lactobacillaceae.